CGUGAUGGUUUCCACAACAAAGGAAGUAGCAGCGCUCAGGCUUAGAAACAGCUGCCUGCCGAGUUUGAUGAACUGUUUGCCUCCAGGCUUCAGACUGAGAGAUGUCUAUUAAUAAUAUAAUACUAUUAUAAUAACAUUUGAAUACUAAGGGGGGGUUAAUGUCAUAAAUCUUGUGUAGGCUACUGAUAAGUCAGUUUGGUGUCAAUUGAUUGGAGAACAAAUCCAAGAAGGUUGAGAUAAAAAAAGGAUUAUAUAUUACUCCCAACAAUGCCUGUGACUAGUGCCUAGGGGGAGGGAUGGUUCUCUUAAUGCUUGGUCAAGACUAGAUUGUGCUCAUCCAUGCAACAGGAGAGACUGAGCCAUCUGACACUAAUUUCCAUUCAGGAACUGCACUUCAAAGAGUUCAUCAGGAAUCUUUCUGCAAAGAAAACAGGCGUAGCCACUUCUAAGGGUUUGGUAGUUGAUGUUCUGACUCAAGAGCUGGACUUGAGGACAAAGCGGGUUAAAAUUAGCAAAAGAGCAGACAAUCAAUCAGUGAAGGCAAACUAAUCCAAAAAAACGAGCAAGCAUACAGGUAAAAAGAUCAAUUAUUUAUCAUUUAACAUUAUUUAAUUACUUCCCUACGACCAAUUCAGAGGAUUUUUAUUAAAUUAUUUAUUUCUUAUUUAAGGAUUUACAGUAUUUUCUACAUAAUGAGCUCAUUUUACUGCUGAUACUUACCUCACUGGAGUACAUGUAUUAUCUUGUAUGUUACAGAAUGUAUCACUAUAUGACAUACCGCCGGUGAGAUUCUGCCGGGGAAUACUUGGUAAGAACCACAGACUGCCAUCAUGUGCCAUUCAAAAGAUCUGUGCUACGUUUCCAUCUUGACAACUACACUGUCGUUCAAGAAUCCAGCACUUUAUUAGAGUCAAUAACAAAACACAAUGUCAGUUCAGUGAUUGAAUCUGCUUCUAUACAGCACAACAGCAUCCAUCUUGUUUGGUUCUUCCACCGACUGCUGAGUGGAGCUGGGACUUUGAAAGGUUCCUCAUCAACAUUGUCUUGACACGAAGAGUAGAGUCUCGGUCAAGAGUCCAGUAACAUACUCUGCAAAAAAUAUGUUUUAUAAUCAAGCAUUAUAUAUAAUAUAUAAUAUGUGUAUGUAUAUGUGUAUCUGUAUCUUAUAUAUCAAUAUUGCGCCUGCAUGGACUUGUGUGGUGUGACUGUGGAGAGGGGAUCCGUCUGCACAGCAAUUUCAUUCUGACAUGUCUGAAAUGUACAGAAUUGUAUUGCAUGUUUAUACAUGUCUGCGUAAAGAAAAUAUCUAAUAACAUUCAUAAUAAAAGAUGUGGUUGAAUUGAUUGAGAGAGCAAUGAUAUCAAAUUAAACAAAUAUAUGAAUUAUGUACAUGCAUGUGGUGAUUGUAUGUUUAACACAUCAUGUGCAGGUCUACUGGUACUACAACUGUAAUGUACAGACGACGUACAGUCUGUAUACUUACUGGUGUACACACAGCUUCCUCCCCAGUGUGGAUGUCCAAUAGAUGGUCGCUGAUCAUACAGGUAUCCUCAGUUCUGUCAGUGGCUUCAUUCACCAAUGUUUCAAUACCUCUGUAAUAAUAGGGUGAUAGUUAAAAGUUAAAUCGACUCACGCUUUUACUCAAACUACAGAAUAAAAUGGGGAAGCCUGUUAUAAACAUUGAAUCUAUACUUAAUUAAGCUAAAUGUGGUUUAACUUAUCAUCUAAGGAUACUUAGUCAUAUUAAAAUAAAAUAAACAUCAAUGCUGUGACAUGCUGUGAUUUUCUUCUAAAUAAAAAAUGUUAUUCAAGAAAAGAUGAUGAAGCUAAAUUAGGUC
RNAcentral lists this long non-coding RNA (1838 nucleotides) under Cottoperca gobio. Its description in RNAcentral is "lncRNA (ENSCGOG00000019941.1)". Lineage: Eukaryota; Metazoa; Chordata; Actinopteri; Perciformes; Bovichtidae. The record is from RNAcentral.